UUGCUACUCCUUCCGCCCUAAAUUUCUUGUCUUAGAUUUGUCUAGAUAUAAAUGUGUCUAGUCACGUUUUAGUAUUUAGAUACAAUCAUUUCUAAACAAAUAUAAGACAAGUAUUUUGAAACGGGGGGAGUAUUUC
This 136-nucleotide microRNA precursor is filed under the name Hordeum vulgare. Its description in RNAcentral is "microRNA MIR1122". It matches the Rfam family "MIR1120/MIR1122 microRNA precursor family". Lineage: Eukaryota; Viridiplantae; Streptophyta; Magnoliopsida; Poales; Poaceae. The record is from RNAcentral.